RNAcentral lists this ribosomal RNA (497 nucleotides) under uncultured bacterium. RNAcentral describes it as "partial 16S ribosomal RNA". It matches the Rfam family "Bacterial small subunit ribosomal RNA", at positions 28 to 507 of the family's 1533-position model. The record is from RNAcentral.
GAUGAACGCUGGCGGCGUGCCUAAUACAUGCAAGUCGAGCGCACAGACGAGGAGCUUGCUCCUCUGACGUUAGCGGCGGACGGGUGAGUAACACGUAGAUAACCUACCUAUAAGACUGGGAUAACUUCUGGAAACCGUAGCUAAUACCGCAUAAUAUAUUGAACCACAUGGUUCAUUAUUGAAAGACGGUUUUGCUGUCACUUAUAGAUGGACCCGCGCCGCUUUAGCUAGUUGGUAGGGUAACGGUUUACCAAGGCAACGAUGCGUAGCCGACCUGAGAGGGGGAUCGGCCACACUGGAACUGAGACACGGUCCAGCCUCCUACGGGAGGCAGCGGAAGGGAAUCUUCCGCAAUGGGCGAAAGCCUGACGGAGCAACGCGGCGUGAGGGAUGAAGGUCUUCGGAUCGUAAAACUCUGUUAUUAGGGAAGAACAAAUGUGGAAGUAACUAUGCACGUCUUGACGGUACCUAAUCAGAAAGCCACGGCUAACUACGUG